Molecule: long non-coding RNA, 1642 nt
Organism: Rattus rattus (black rat)
Lineage: Eukaryota; Metazoa; Chordata; Mammalia; Rodentia; Muridae
Exons: 2
Source: RefSeq, a predicted model, not a curated record
GUCUCGGGUGUGUGAUGGCGGCUGCAAUCUGUCUUGUGGGUAUUAAUGCGGUCUUCACUGGUGGCGACUGUCAUCCAGCUGUUCUGCAAAACUGGAGCUUGCUGGCUUGAAAACACCUUGCCCAGUUUUGAUCCCUUCAAGACUUCAUAACAGCCUCUAUCACACAUCUGUUUUCCUCAAAGAAAAAAAAAUAUAUAAUAAAAUGUGUUUUACUCUUUUACACUGUAUAAUUUUAAGAAAUGUGUUAUUUGUGAAUGCAUGGUCUGACAUUUCUGUACAGUUUGGAGACAUGAGCAGUAAAGCCAGAACGGUUAGUAUUUUUAUAACAGACAUUUUAAGAGUGGACAGAUGGAUCCUUUACACUAGGCUACAUCACGACUUUUGUUUGAUUUUUGAAUGCUUUUAAUGGUGUUUAUCUUAUUUUUCUUCUGAAAUAAGAUGCAUGUUUGAAACAUAUCUCUAAAUAGCAUCCAAGUUUCCACAAUUGUGUUGUGAAUGUGUGGACUCCCUCUGCCUGGCCCAGAGUCAGCCCCAUUAGUAGCUGGGUGUAGAAAUGAGCUUCUGCAGUAUUAGCUCUGUAAUCCUGGCUCCCAGGGAUCUCCCUGCAAGACAAUCAGUGCCCCAAAGCAUCUGCCAUUGUAGUGUAUAAACCACUGGGCAAAGACUACUUAGGUAAUGUCUCUGAAAACCAUGGCCACUCUGGCUGUGACUAUACAAACUGUGCCCGGGGACAUAUUGACAUUCUAUGCUUAGUGUCGUUUAGGAUAGCACCCUCAGAGUGUGCAACUUCACCCACCUUCCAGAAACUGUUCCCAGUUCCCCAGUGGAACGAACUGCAAGGUCCACCUUCCAUUUAUGUGGUUGGCCUUUAGUUUGGAGGCAAACAUGCCUCAGGCUUUGCCCACUCAGCCUGCGCUGGGCAUCACAUCUCUCAAGUGGGUCAGCAGAGCGUUGGCCUGCCUGAGUAGCUAGCUGUUCUGGUCUGGCAGCCAUGUCAGACAGACCAUCCAUCACAUUCUCUGGAACGCUACAUGCUCAUCUUGAGACUACCUACUACAUUGCAGUGUGGGGCAUGAAACUUGGCCAUGUGCGAUGAACACUGUUACCCUUGCUUCAAGACCUCUUCAAAGCCCAAAGUUAGUCUUGUGUUGUGUGCCAACACAUUUCCAGAGGCUGUGAUGGCACAGUCUUCCCGCUCCUCAAACGAGCCAUGCAUACUAUGUUGACCUCAGAAUUUCCAGCUGCUGAUACUACUAGACAUAAUCACAAUCUUUGUAUCUUUGUUAUUGAUCUGCUUGUAUUGUGUUGAAAAUGUCAUAUUUUAAUGAAUAUUUCGGUGGUUUGGGAGGGUUAUUUCAUUAUUUUUCAUGAGAAGUAAAAAAUGUCAAGUUUUUAAAGGUUAUUAAAAAGAGGAACACCAAGGCCUGUAGUAAGGGCCUUUUCUCUGUAAACUAGAGGCCGGGACAGGCAGCACUGGGGAAUUGGCAUCCAGGUGGUGUUCCGUGCCACUUGACUGUAAGACUCCUCUCCUUGCUUUAAAGAGAGCGAGCCACUCAUCAUCGAUUAUGCUUUUAUAAUUGUGUAAAGGUACUUUUGUAUUGUCAUUUUUUUAAAAGAUAAUAAAAGUUUAUUCCAGCCAUUA